AGCUCUGCAGGAUGGCGGUGAGGUAGAGGAAGAGCUCCAUGCGUGCCAGCGACUCGCCCAGGCACAGUCGGCGACCUGCGUGGGGGGGAGGGUGCGGAGCAGCGUUGAGCAGGGUAAAGACCAAAGCCAAGAAAAGGAGAACUGCUCGCCUGCGCCACACAGUGGAGAUACUGACGGUGACCACUUCCAAGUUGAAUUAAUAUCCUGCCUCCCCACCUCCCUCCGCAAGGAUUUUUAUCUGCCUAUAGGAAGAGAGCUGGGAGGGAGAACAAAUGUCUCCGCACACCCAAAGUUGAGGAUGCGGUGGGAUGAAGAAACGAGAGGGUUUAAAGAGUGGAAUGAGGAAUGUAGGACUGGAAGAACCCCCACGCCGUCCCGCCCGAUCUCGGCGUCCUGACCUCUCCCCAGGGGCCGCUCAUGAUUUGGAAGUUGUCAUUGAUGAGGCGGAUAAUGGUGAGCAGACGCUCAUCGUCGUAGUCAAAGCGC
Molecule: long non-coding RNA, 486 nt
Organism: Lutra lutra (Eurasian river otter)
Lineage: Eukaryota; Metazoa; Chordata; Mammalia; Carnivora; Mustelidae
Exons: 3
Source: RefSeq, a predicted model, not a curated record